Molecule: non-coding RNA, 798 nt
Organism: Paramuricea clavata
Lineage: Eukaryota; Metazoa; Cnidaria; Anthozoa; Malacalcyonacea; Plexauridae
Source: the annotation of a GenBank genome assembly
GCCAAAUUACAAGAUGCCAAAACAACAAUUACAAUCCAAGAAAUAACAAACCAAAUUGGCGCUUCCAAAACCUAAGACAAAUUUCCUCAAAAGGAGCUUCUCGUACAGAGCUGCGAAAUUGUGGAACGAACUUUAAAGUGAAACCAUCGAAAAUCACAAUGAACUAUCAAUCUUAUAGUUUAAACGGCGAUUAUAUAAUUAGGUAUAAAAUUGAUGCAAAUAUUUAUACUGAUAGCAUACUUUGUAAAUAGUCUUUUGUUUAUAUGUUUAUACUGUAUAUAUUUUGUGUUUCAUAGCUUAGUAUAUUGAUAGAUACACGGCCCUUUGAAACCAGUUUUGUAAAUAAUUAUCCACUGAAUAGGCUACCGUAUGUAAAGUAUUUUAAUUAAAGAUUACUUGUCAGACGCUGUUGACUUUCGCUGUCCUCUGUCCCGCCUUUGGCAGUGUCGCUGGCUUUCGAAUUAAAAUAAACGCAGCUCUUUUUACGUUUAGAAUUAGCUGACUGUCCCCUGUUGGUUUAUGGAGACGCUUUAUUUUGCCUUGGUUUACAUGAAUAAAUGUCUCUCUUAUAUCAUUUAUCUUCUUUAUCAACGUUUCCAGCUUUGAUUUGCAGUUUCUGCAGCAAUAUAGAAUUCGUCGACCGUCUUCUCGACAUCAAUGGCGCAGUAAGCUUGAAAAUCAUUUCCUAGUUUGGUUUUUCCUUUUGUGUUCGAAAGCACAGUUCUUCUUGUUGGAAGUGUAGUACUGCCACAGAUUUUGCAGCCUUCAAUUUCUUUAUUUACAGCUAGCUUUAUUGGU